This 402-nucleotide ribosomal RNA is filed under the name uncultured bacterium. Its description in RNAcentral is "bacterial SSU rRNA". It matches the Rfam family "Bacterial small subunit ribosomal RNA", at positions 355 to 747 of the family's 1533-position model. The record is from RNAcentral.
CUAAGAAUCUUCCGCAAUGGGGGCAACCCUGACGGAGCGACGCCGCGUGGACGAUGAAGGCCGUAAGGUUGUAAAGUCCUUUUGCAGGUGAAGAAUAAGCGGGGGAGUGGAAAGCCCUCGUGAUGACGUUAGCCUGCGAAGAAGCCCCGGCCAAUUACGUGCCAGCAGCCGCGGUAAUACGUAUGGGGCGAGCGUUGUUCGGAGUUAUUGGGCGUAAAGGGCGUGUAGGCGGCCCGAGAAGUCUGGUGUGAAAUCGCAGGGCUCAACCCGUGCGGGUGCGCUGGAAACUGACGGGCUUGAGUCCCGGGGGGGAAGCUGGAAUUCCUGGUGUAGGAGUGAAAUCUGUAGAGAUCAGGAAGAACACCGGUGGCGAAGGCGAGCCUCUAUUCGAGGACUGACGCU